This is a small nuclear RNA of Echinops telfairi (small Madagascar hedgehog), 164 nucleotides long. RefSeq annotates it as U1 spliceosomal RNA. NCBI's taxonomy places the organism in Eukaryota, Metazoa, Chordata, Mammalia, Afrosoricida, Tenrecidae. The record is from RefSeq and is a predicted model, not a curated record. The transcript has a single exon.
AUACUUACCUGGCAGGGGAGCUACCAUGAUCACGAACAUGGUUUUCCCAGGUCGAGGCUCACCCAUUGCACUCUGGAUGUGCUGACCCCUGCGAUUUCCCCAUAUGUGGGAAUCUCGACCGCAUAAUUUGUGGUAGUGGGGGACUGCGUUCAUACUCUCACCUG